AACGAACGCUGGCGGCAGGCCUAACACAUGCAAGUCGAACGAAGGCCCGGAGCUUGCUCCGGUCACCUUAGUGGCGCACGGGUGAGUAACACGUGGGAACCUACCUUAGAGCGGGGAAUAACUUCGGGAAACUGAAGCUAAUACCGCAUACGCCCUUCGGGGGAAAGGCUUCGGCCACUCUUAGAUGGUCCCGCGUCCGAUUAGCUUGUUGGUGAGGUAACGGCUCACCAAGGCUACGAUCGGUAGCUGGUCUGAGAGGAUGAUCAGCCACACUGGGACUGAGACACGGCCCAGACUCCUACGGGAGGCAGCAGUGGGGAAUAUUGGACAAUGGGGGAAACCCUGAUCCAGCCAUGCCGCGUGAGUGAAGAAGGCCUUAGGGUUGUAAAGCUCUUUCAACGGGGACGAUGAUGACGGUACCCGUAGAAGAAGCCCCGGCUAACUCCG
Molecule: ribosomal RNA, 447 nt
Filed under: uncultured Rhodospirillaceae bacterium
Lineage: Bacteria; Pseudomonadati; Pseudomonadota; Alphaproteobacteria; Rhodospirillales; Rhodospirillaceae
Description: bacterial SSU rRNA
Rfam family: Bacterial small subunit ribosomal RNA
Source: RNAcentral